Non-coding RNA from Arabidopsis thaliana (thale cress), 213 nucleotides. The record is from RefSeq. NCBI's taxonomy places the organism in Eukaryota, Viridiplantae, Streptophyta, Magnoliopsida, Brassicales, Brassicaceae.
UUAGAAGGAGAUGUCAAAGAUGAAUAGGAGAACAAUAUUUGGUAGCCAAGGAUGACUUGCCUGCUUCUCUGAACAAAAUGGUCGAUGUCAUGUUUUGAAGUGACUAUAAGUUAUACCAAGAAAUGACCAUUUUGUUUAUAAAUAGACAUCAGGCAGUCUCCUUGGCUAUCCUUAUAUGUUCUUCUUUCUCAACUCAGAUAUUUACCUUCAUCC